This 3221-nucleotide non-coding RNA is filed under the name Pongo abelii (Sumatran orangutan). Lineage: Eukaryota; Metazoa; Chordata; Mammalia; Primates; Hominidae. The record is from RNAcentral.
AUGCGAGCUGUAGGAGUGCGGCGGGACGUGGAAAUCGAAUCUGUGCUCUGUGAGAGAUCCUAGGAGAGGAAACUGGGAGCCCAGGAGAACUAAAAUUCCCAAUUAAAAGUGAAUUUAAGUCUGAGCUGUUCUUAGACCCAGAAUUUCUUGCCUGAAGGAGGAGUCAGGUCCCCACAAGGAAAGACCCUGCAACUGUAUAAAAAAAGAAUCUAAAAAGAUCAUGACUCCUUCAGUCCUUUCCCAAAGAGACCUAUGGAAAUUUCCUCAGGAAGAGGGACCAAGCAAAAUCCCAGAAGAGUUGAUCUCAAAGCUUAUUUCAUGAAGAAAAUUGACCUGAGUGACACAAAGGGUUGGACUGUAGUAGAUGUCACGUUUUGCUGCCUAGAUCUCCAUCCAGGGAUGAACUCUUAUUUCCUCAGCUUCUUUGUUUCCUCAGCUUCUGGGAGGGUUGGCAGCUGACAUUCUCACCUGAGUCCCUUUCUAGGACUUGCCCUUGCCUGAAGAGAGCUGUGUUGCCCAACAUGAUGCCUCCUCCAAGGUACAAUCCACACCCACUGACUAAUAAACAGGGGUUACAAAGGCAUGCCUGCUUGCCCCAAUUUGGGACAACUUUACCAGGCCAACCCAGCCUCAAGGCUCUCUGCAGGAACAGGUGAGGCCAUAGUUGUGACUACAUCACAGUUCAGUUUCUCCUCUGCCCAAGCCUUCUUCCUUCAUUCCUCCACAGAUGUUGAUCCUGAGAUUCCUUUCCAGUAAACUUCCUCCAUGCAAUCUUCAUCUCAGAGUCUCUUUCCUGGGGAAACUAACCUGCAACUGAUACAAAUGCCUAUUCUGUGAGAUAAAACACUAAAAGUACAAUGCGAGUGGUAUAAAUAUUCUGCUACAGAAAUACAAAGUCAGAUAUCAUUUUUGACUUAGGUAGUCAGAGAAUGGAGAUAUUCUGAGUUCGACUUCUGAGAUAGUAGGAUUCAAUAGGUGAAGGGAAGAUGAGAUGGUAUAAGACUAACAUAGGCAGAAUUUUGCUAAACGAAUUGGAGAUGAAACAUCAUAAGUGCAGGUGCACAAGUAGAAAAGUAAAAUCAGAGCUCAAGGAAGGGGAAGUGAUCCAGCUGGGCAGAAAUAUGGGGCCUAUAUAGAGACAUACCAGGAAAUAAAGCCAGGUCGAAUGGCAGGGUAGGACCUGAUUGUUAAGGGUCUUAAGUGCUGGGGUCAAGAUUGUGGUCCUUACUUAAAAGUUGGUUGGGCAUGAUUUUGGGAGUUGUAACAAAAGAUGUGGCAAACUCAAAGCUUCUUUUUCAUGUAAAGUAUAGAGAAGUGGAGGUUCGUAUCAUUAAAUCACCGUAAUUUCAGUGUGAACUUCUAACAAUUUGAGCUAACCAUGAGAUAGGACACCUUAUCAAGCAAUGAACUCUCCAUUAUCUAAACAGAAGCUGAAUUUCAAGUCCAUGUAGAGGAAGUCUUGUGUUGACUAGAACAUAAUAUGUUUGAGGGGACUUUUCUUCUUUUUUACUGAUAUUUACUAACUUGGAUAUUGUGCUAAGUGCUUUACAGGUAUUCUUAUUUAAUCCUCACAAGGCAGUAUGGUAGAUUAUCUAUUAUAUUGAAAAUAAUGGGCCAGGCACAGUGACUCACGCCUGUAAUCCCAGCACUUUGGGAGGCCGAGGCGGGUGGGUCACCUGAGGUCAGGAGUUCAAGACCAGCCUGACCAACAUGGUGAAACCCUAUCUUUACUAAAAAUACAAAAAUAAGCCUGGCGUAGUAGCUCACACCUGUAGUCCCAGCUACUCGGAAGGCUGAAGCACGAGAAUCACUUGAACCCACCAGGUGGAGGUUACAGUGAGCCAAAAUCACACCACUGGACUCCAGCCUGGGCAAGAGAGCAUGACUAGGUCUCAAAAGAAAGAAAUAAAGAAAGAAAAUAAUGAACAAAAAAUGCUGAGUGGACAGUAUUAAAUUAAAAAAAUGUAUUAAAGAAGGAGAAAAGUACAAAAAUUAGUCAACAAGCAGAGAAAGAAAGAAAAUAUAAAGGCAAAAAUGUAUAUUAUCCAAAUGAGGCCUCUUUCUUAAGAAGAAAAAAUUGAGGAAAUUCAAAACAUAAGUUAGGAAAUAGUGAGUAAAAUUAUGAAGUUAAAAAUUCACCAAAAAUUUAUUGAUAGGUCCAAGUUCAGUUUGUAGUGAACAGACUCUUCUUAUGCAGAAUUUGAGCAAAGUGCUAACAAAACAGAGUUAGGUAAUGGGAUGAGGGUCAGUCAGAUCACUCUAUUUUUGGAAACUGUUUUCAUGACUGCUUCCCCUUAGUCAUAGACAGGCUAUAUAAAAAGCUGUCAGAGUGGAAAGAGGGAAAGGAUUUGUGAAAUUUUUUUUUUCUUUUAGCAAGUUGUUAAGGUUCUGUAAAUCACCACCCUCCCAAAGGGAUGAAGUUUCGGGGUGCACUCCCCUGACCUCAGCCUAGUAGGGGGACUUCCAGGAGAUAAUGAGAGACUUUGAUGUUUCCUCAAAUUUAUAGACACAAAGACUGGUGCCUGGCUUCUCCUGAUAAAGCUAAACCUGCAUGUGGCUGGUCUCUAGUUGGCUAGAUAGUAGUAGUUAAAAUGAAAAGAAACACUUAAUGUUAGAUGCCGUCCAAUAGGGCCACCUAAAGCGAUGGAAGGUUCUCAGCAGCAAGAGCCCAGAGGUAGAAGCAAGACUCUUAGGGGGUAAGGAUGGAGUGGCAAGUGAAAACCUAGACAAAGAAGCAUCUGUCCUGGUCCAGAGGCUUCCCCAAUAAAGAUGUCUCACACAACUCUAAGAAGUUAGAACUCAAGAAAAAGACUAACAAGAAAAAGAGGGGUGUGUGUGUGGAAGAGGUGAGGCAGUUGUUUUCCUAUAAAUAAUGUUAAAUUAAACUAAAUUUGGUCUGAGGAUGCCUCGUAACUUGAGUCGCUACAUAACAAACUGCAACCUAACUUAGGAGUAUUUUUUUUUUGUACUAACAAGGUGAGUCUCAGCCAAUCACAGCAGCUAAGCUACAGCCAAUCCCAUGUGGCCAACUGAUCAGCCCAUGCCCAGUAAGUCAACUGCUCACCUGUAACUACUCAAGCUGCUUCUUGACCUCAUUUCCAUUUGCUGUUUAUAAGUGCUGCCUGCCCACCUUGCUGAGCAGAUCUCUCUGAACUUCUUUCGUUUUUGAGGGUUACUUGAUUAGAAAAUUGUUCUUUGUUCAAUUAAACUUUGCUAAAUAU